RNAcentral lists this ribosomal RNA (289 nucleotides) under uncultured Marinobacterium sp. RNAcentral describes it as "partial 16S ribosomal RNA". It matches the Rfam family "Bacterial small subunit ribosomal RNA", at positions 186 to 463 of the family's 1533-position model. The record is from RNAcentral. Lineage: Bacteria; Pseudomonadati; Pseudomonadota; Gammaproteobacteria; Oceanospirillales; Oceanospirillaceae.
GCAUACGCCUUCGGGGGAAAGUAGGGGAUCUUCGGACCUUACGCUAUCAGAUGAGCCCGCGUCGGAUUAGCUUGUUGGUGAGGUAAAGGCUCACCAAGGCGAUGAUCCGUAGCUGGUCUGAGAGGAUGAUCAGCCACACUGGGACUGAGACACGGCCCAGACUCCUACGGGAGGCAGCAGUGGGGAAUAUUGGACAAUGGGGGCAACCCUGAUCCAGCCAUGCCGCGUGUGUGAAGAAGGCCUUCGGGUUGUAAAGCACUUUCAGAUGUGAGGAAAGGUGUGUGGUUAA